ACGUAGAUUUGAUUAUAUAUCAGAGCUUGAUAAAUACUUGAGAGAGGAUCCUGAACCUUAUAUGAAGUCAGUUGAGCUUGAUAUUUUACAUUGGUGGAAAGUCAACUCGACUAGAUUUCCUAUCCUUGCGAACAUGGCUCGAGAGGUGUUAGCCAUUCCUAUCUCUACCGUAGCAUCAGAGUGUGCAUUUAGUACAGGAGGAAGAGUGGUUAGUCCUUAUCGUAGUUGCCUAACGCCUAAAAUAGUGGAAGUGCUUGUUUGCACACAAGAUUGGUUAAAAGGAACACCUUUCUCUAUACUUUUUGAUGAGGAUCCUAAAGAACAUGAUAAAUUUGAGCAAGAGAUAACCUCUCAAGAUGAAGUGGGACCUUCAAGUGUUGUUAUUAAUUUGGAUGAUUGAAGUUUUGCCACAAUUUGUUAGUUAUCUAAAGUACAUGAUGAUUCAUACAUUGAAAGCUACAUAAGCACCAUCAGAGUUGAUUUUG
Molecule: non-coding RNA, 485 nt
Organism: Vigna umbellata (rice bean)
Lineage: Eukaryota; Viridiplantae; Streptophyta; Magnoliopsida; Fabales; Fabaceae
Source: RefSeq, a predicted model, not a curated record